Delphinapterus leucas (beluga whale) is the source of this 1804-nucleotide long non-coding RNA. NCBI's taxonomy places the organism in Eukaryota, Metazoa, Chordata, Mammalia, Artiodactyla, Monodontidae. The record is from Ensembl.
GUAGUUAAGAGCUCACUACAUCAAAAGGGGGAGCUUUCACCAAUAUGAAAAAAGGAACUCCAGUUUUACCCUCAAAGUUCAACUACCACAAAAGCCCAACACAAAACCAGAAAUAACCUCCUCUCGGUAAUCAAGUGUUUUUAAGAGGUGUUGGAAAGAAACCAGCAUAUACAUUUUCAGAGCUUCAUAAUCAUUAACUAUUCUCCACCAUCCCAGAAAAUGUGAACUUGGAUGAGCUCCAAGCAUCUUAGCAACAAGCCAACAGCUCCCAACCAGAGCCCUCAGCCUUCUGAUGGGGCCAGAAUCCCAGAGACAAAGCAUUAUUUAUCGACAUAAACUGUCUUGCUUCUGAAGCUGGAAUCCCAAGAACCAAGCUAAUGAGAAGACUCCGUGCCAGGGUGUCAUAUUGAGUUAAGAAGGCCAACCCAGUCACAGUCCAUUUCUCUGCGCUCAGCCCAGACCAGAGGAAACACAGGGCAAACAUAUACAGCAGCUUCUGAAAGGCCCCAACACUUGAUGCUCGAACACCAAGACAAUCGCUGUCUUCAGCUGGGAGCGUGGGAAAGGGCACAGAACAUGGAAUGUUUUCUGAACGGAUGGGCAGGGCCCUUCAUGGAGUAGCAGAAGCUACCAGCUGCAGGCCUUGGCAGCGCGAUGCUCCCAAACUCCUGAGUAUGGCAGUCAGGGCUCUUGCUUGAUGAGCCUAAGGCCUAAGGCAACCGGACCAAGAGAUGGAACCAUUUCAUCACACCAGGGGGAAAGAAAUGGGUCAACAAUCUCUACCCUGUCUAUCUGGCUGGAAAGUGCAUCGGGAAACCUCUACAAAGAUAAAUGUGAGCCUUUGAACAUGCCUGCUACCACCAGACCCCGUCGUGGGUUCUGUUCACCUCUGCCCUGUGGCUAGAAUUGGUCAUGGCCACAGCAGGGGUCUUAGCAGCUGUCCAAGACCCCCUGCAAACAACUGCCCACUGCUUACAGUCUGGUGGUAUGGCCACAUAAACAGAAUCUGAAUUCUCAGCCCAGAGCUUGGCAAUCCAAGGUGAGUGCUAUUUGAAUUGCAGUAACCUUCUUGUUUUUUCACUAAGAAACUUAGUGUCCAAUGCCAAAAUGUUGGUCAGUUGUGUUCAAGUUUGGUGUAACAGAGCACGAACCAUAGUCAUAGGCAACUCUCAACUGUAAUGCCACCCCCCAAACCACAAGAAAGGAGUCAGGCCCACCGAGGUUUUGCCCCAGAAAGGAGGUGGGUUUCACACUAUGAUGUGGAACAGGCCACUCUCAUCGGCACUUACAAUGGUUCUUUCUUUGUGUCAAUUUGGUUGGGUUAUGGUACCCAGCUGUCUGGUCAAUCACUAGUCUAGAUUUUGCUGUGAUGGUAUUUUGCAGAUGUGACAAACAUUUACAAUCAGUGGACUUUAAGCAGAAUAUCCUCAAUAAUGUAGGUGAGAUUCAUCCAAUCAAUUUUUUUUUUGUCACUUGACAAAAUUUUAUUAGGGGCAUGGAACUCUGCACAUAGCAGAGUUGAAGGAUAUUAAAUAAACAAAACUGGCCAGAGGGGAGGAUUCUUAAAGAUGGUAGAAGAGGCAGUUAGAACCAGAAUUUGGACUCAAUUACAUGUAUAAUGAGGUCCCACUAAAAGACAAGGAAAUUGAUAAUUAAUGUAGGGUUUUCUGGAAAUUAAUAUGACUGAUAGGGUGGAAUAAUACACAAAAUGGAAGGACUUAGACGAGGGUCUUUGUAAAUAUUUUAGGAGUUUCAUCCAAUCAAUUGAAGGCCUUAAAAACAAAAACUAAAAUUUCCCGGGGAA